CUCCUCUCUCUGGUCCCAUGCACUUUUAUCCCACAAGCCCUAGGACGAGUUAGUGACAACAGUAGUAAGUGUCACAGUGUAAGGUUUUUGCUGGGCUGCCUAGCCUCUGGAUGAUUACAGGCCUGGGUGCUUCUAGGGAAUAGAGAGGCAGAAACACGUAGAAUGAUCAAGUCAGAAUCAUCUUUUGGAAAUGUUGCCUAA
This 201-nucleotide long non-coding RNA is filed under the name Homo sapiens (human). RNAcentral's name for it is "HSALNT0247347". Lineage: Eukaryota; Metazoa; Chordata; Mammalia; Primates; Hominidae. The record is from RNAcentral.